UACUUUUAAAAUUGGUUUUGAAUAGGGUAAUAUUUAAGUAUCAGGUUUCUAAUGUGUUGAUUUACUUUUCCCUUUGCAUUUUGGAUAUGUUUUGAUUUCUUUUCUUUCAUCUUUCGCAUAUGAAUCCGCUUUGGAGUUCAAACCAGCUCCCUCCUUUUUGCAUUUCAUAAUGGGCCAAUAAGGCCCAUCUUUUGAGUCGAGUUCUGCAAUUACUGCAAGAUCGAUUGACUUUUGGAUAAAGAAGUUGAUAUUGAUGGAAGAGGAAAAUAGGUUGAUACCCAUUGGUGAAAAUUUGUCAAACUUGUAUUGUUUGUUUUAUUAUUUUUUUCUGCUUCUUUAUCUAUUUAUUCAUUCAUUUGGGCCUCGAAGCCAAAGUUGUAAUUUUAAUACAGGUCAAGCGGAUUUUGGGCCAAAAGGUCCAAAAAAAUGAUUCGAGACAGGUUAUGGGCUAAAAGCUCAAUAUUUAGAUUAAGACAGGUGACGACGGGACAAAAGCCCAAAUGGAUAGUUUAGGACAGGUGCAAGCAGGUUUGGGACUAAAAGCCUAAUCUCAUUUUUUACCUUUUACUUUUCUAUGUUUAUUUGCUAUUUGUGCCUUAAAAUUUAGUUAAAUUCCUUACUAAGUCAUCAAAUUGAUUUUACACAAGUUUUGUUUUAAAUCACUUUUUUUUAAAAAUCAAUCUUUUUAAAGUUAGUCAAAAGAUAUUUUCAAACAGUCCGGAUAACCGCAAGUUAGCGAACGUUUUAGAUGUCUUAAACCUUCUUAAAACGUUAAUAAGAACCGCUUACUCAGAAUCUUUAAAUUUUAAUGAUUUUUUCUGUUUUGGAUCGUUUAAAGUAUUUCAUAAAGAUUUUUUAAUUCCUUUUCAAAAUUAAGUGGCGACUCUGAAAGGAAAAUUUUUGCAAAACAAAAAUGGUGACUCUGCUGGGGAUUCUAACUAGGUUCUAACCAAAUGUUUGAUUUCAUCUAUUGACUAACUGUUUAAAUUGCUUACGUAUUUAUGUGUUUCAAUUUUGCAGAAUUUAAUUAUUGCAUUUGAUGGCAUGGUCCUGCAUUGAUUAUUAAUUUGUUUUGGGGGGUUUUGUGGAUGUCCCAACCCUUAUUGUUCACCUCUAAAUCAAAUGUUGGAAAUAUGACAGUUUACUGGCACAUUGGGCAGUCGAAGGCUGAUCAUGUUUUCAAACUCAAGUUUUUCGCUUGGGAACAUGUGUCCAAACCCACUCUAGACACCUAGGAUAUAGCGAAACCAAAACCCUAUUUUAGGUAUAAGUCUAGAACGACUAUUGUGCCUAUUAGAAAACUUUCCAUGCAUCUAUUGACCCCGAGUUAAUUACAGAUAAAUCAUAUCUAUGUGUUGAAGAAGAAUAUAUUUUAUUUAAUCCAAUCUAUUAUCUUGCUCUGCUUUCGUGUAAGGAUUCCUUAAUCAUACACCAAUUGAGAGAGGAAUUGAAGCAAACCAAGAAAGAAACUAAUCGAUUUAGACGGUUGCAUCUAAGGCACAACUAUACGGAAAUAGCUUGAUUAUCAACGGAUGUUGUCAAUGACAAGAAGUGGACAAAGAUAAGAAGGCGAAGGCCGAUAGAAGAAACAUUCAGGAUUUAGUAUUUCCUAUCCCCUGCGUGGGACAUCAUUUUUUUUCUCAUGUGAUUUCCCUUUCCCUAAAGAUUGUACCCCCUUUGUGGAACUUUUGUAGGCAUUUAUGCCAUUUAUGUAUAUCUAUGAAAUUGGGGGAUAAUGGAUUGGCUUUAAAA
This 1752-nucleotide long non-coding RNA is filed under the name Capsicum annuum. RNAcentral's name for it is "long non-coding RNA (CANN_LNC020384)". The record is from RNAcentral. Lineage: Eukaryota; Viridiplantae; Streptophyta; Magnoliopsida; Solanales; Solanaceae.